UCAAACGCAACGAACGGGAUUAGUAAGGAACAGCAGUUUCGCUCAGAGAGCUGUGCGCUUGGUGAAAGCACAGACGAAACGGUACCUGAACUCGCCCGGGAGCGGUAAGGCUGAUAAGGAUGCCAAGGAUCCAGCACCCAAGUAGGUCUUGACGGUUGACCCCCGUGAUCAGGUACAUGAGUGGUUUCGAGUGUAACAGCUCGGAUCAAUUAGAGUGGUACCGCGGAAGGUUCAAGCCUGUCGUCUCUUUU
Paenibacillus sp. Soil787 is the source of this 251-nucleotide non-coding RNA. The record is from Rfam. Lineage: Bacteria; Bacillati; Bacillota; Bacilli; Caryophanales; Paenibacillaceae.